GAUGAACGCUGGCGGCGUGCCUAAUACAUGCAAGUCGAGCGAACGGACGAGAAGCUUGCUUCUCUGAUGUUAGCGGCGGACGGGUGAGUAACACGUGGAUAACCUACCUAUAAGACUGGGAUAACUUCGGGAAACCGGAGCUAAUACCGGAUGAUAUUUUGAACCGCAUGGUUCAAAAGUGAAAGACGGUCUUGCUGUCACUUAUAGAUGGAUCCGCGCUGCAUUAGCUAGUUGGUAAGGUAACGGCUUACCAAGGAAACGAUGCAUAGCCGACCUGAGAGGGUGAUCGGCCACACUGGAACUGAGACACGGUCCAGACUCCUACGGGAGGCAGCAGUAGGGAAUCUUCCGCAAUGGGCGAAAGCCUGACGGAGCAACGCCGCGUGAGUGAUGAAGGUCUUCGGAUCGUAAAACUCUGUUAUUAGGGAAGAACAUAUGUGUAAGUAACUGUGCACAUCUUGACGGUACCUAAUCAGAAAGCCACGGCUAACUACGUG
This 497-nucleotide ribosomal RNA is filed under the name uncultured bacterium. RNAcentral's name for it is "partial 16S ribosomal RNA". It matches the Rfam family "Bacterial small subunit ribosomal RNA", at positions 28 to 507 of the family's 1533-position model. The record is from RNAcentral.